CACUAGGGAAUCCGACGAGAUCGCGAGCUUCGUGAUUGAGGAUUUCCAUGCGGCUUGUGGUAAUUUGUGAUGGACUAGUUGGAGCACCCCUGCAGGGUUAAAUCUUUCGGAAAGCCGUGCCCGCGGUUAUGUGGCAACGUGGAAACUUUGUUUAACACUGGUUCUAGAUAACUUGAAGUUAACUUAAUUAAAACUUGCCAACUGUGUGCGUUUCCGUGACUGUCUCUUUCGUGAGUUCCUUCUCCGAUCGAGGACACGGUGGGGUUAUGUCUGACGUAGGUAGUUGUUCAGGAUCAUUCUUAUGAUCAUCAGUAGACACGUCCGUUUUGCGUAGAUCUUCCCCCUCUUAUUUCUGGUAUUCGUAAGUUAGCCACCAUAUAUGUGCUUAGCCGCUGCUGCAACCUCACCACUUAACCAUACCUCACCCAUUAAGCUUUGUUAGUCUUGAUACCUUUGGAAAUGAG
RNAcentral lists this long non-coding RNA (464 nucleotides) under Hordeum vulgare. Its description in RNAcentral is "long non-coding RNA (HVUL_LNC017631)". Lineage: Eukaryota; Viridiplantae; Streptophyta; Magnoliopsida; Poales; Poaceae. The record is from RNAcentral.